AUUUAUAUAGUUUAAUACAAAACACUACAUUUUCAUUGUAAAAAUAGUAAGUUACUUAUAAAUU
This 64-nucleotide transfer RNA is filed under the name Tegrolcinia mirotibialis. Its description in RNAcentral is "tRNA-Glu". Lineage: Eukaryota; Metazoa; Arthropoda; Insecta; Orthoptera; Tettigoniidae. The record is from RNAcentral.